RNAcentral lists this unclassified non-coding RNA (267 nucleotides) under Castanediella cagnizarii. RNAcentral describes it as "partial contains 5.8S ribosomal RNA, internal transcribed spacer 2, and large subunit ribosomal RNA". Lineage: Eukaryota; Fungi; Ascomycota; Sordariomycetes; Amphisphaeriales; Castanediellaceae. The record is from RNAcentral.
CGCACAUUGCGCCCAUUAGUAUUCUAGUGGGCAUGCCUGUUCGAGCGUCAUUUCAACCCUUAAGCCUAGCUUAGUGUUGGGAGUCUACUUUAGCGGAGCUACCCUGUAGCUACCCUGUAGUUCCCCAAAUUGAACGGCGGAUCUGCAGUAUCCUCUGAGCGUAGUAAAUUUUUAUCUCGCUUUUGUAAGGUGCUGUAGCUCUUGCCGCAAAACCCCCAAUUUUUAAUGGUUGACCUCGGAUCAGGUAGGAAUACCCGCUGAACUUAA